Molecule: transfer RNA, 72 nt
Filed under: Petromyzon marinus (sea lamprey)
Lineage: Eukaryota; Metazoa; Chordata; Hyperoartia; Petromyzontiformes; Petromyzontidae
Description: tRNA-Cys (GCA) (tRNA-Cys-GCA-20-1)
Rfam family: tRNA
About the family: Transfer RNA (tRNA) molecules are approximately 80 nucleotides in length. Their secondary structure includes four short double-helical elements and three loops (D, anti-codon, and T loops).
Source: RNAcentral
GGGGGUGUAGCUCAGUGGUAGAGCAUUUGACUGCAGAUCAAGUGGUCCUCGGUUCAGAUCCAAGCGCCCCCU